RNAcentral lists this ribosomal RNA (738 nucleotides) under Uroteuthis chinensis. RNAcentral's name for it is "SSU rRNA". It matches the Rfam family "Eukaryotic small subunit ribosomal RNA", at positions 1324 to 1803 of the family's 1831-position model. The record is from RNAcentral. Lineage: Eukaryota; Metazoa; Mollusca; Cephalopoda; Myopsida; Loliginidae.
UCCGAUAACGAACGAGACUCCGGCCUGCUAACUAGUGCGCCGAUGUGUGUGCGUUUUUUGCUACGGCGGGCUCGGGCCGUGCGUGUUCGUCGCGCGUUGUUUCGCGCGUGCGUCUGCGUUCGUUUCGUUUCUCGCGCGUCGGUCGGCGGCUGCUGCGGUGGGGCUCGUCUCUUCCGCGGUCGUCGUCCCGGCGUCGGGGGGCCGGCGGGCGUGGGCGUCGUCGACGGCGUGCGGUCGUGCGUGCGGUUUACGCCGGGUCCGGGUCGGUUUUCUCACGCACUUCUUAGAGGGACGGGUGGCAGAAAGCCACACGAGGCGGAGCGAUAACAGGUCUGUGAUGCCCUUAGAUGUCCGGGGCCGCACGCGCGCUACACUGGAGGUAUCAGCGGGGACUUCGCCCCGGCCCGAGAGGGCUGGGAAACCUCUCAACCACCUCCCGUGAUAGGGAUCGGGGCCUGUAACCAACCCCGUGAACGAGGAAUUCCCGGUAGGCGCGGGUCAACAGCCCGCGUCGAUCACGUCCCUGCCCUUUGUACACACCGCCCGUCGCUACUACCGAUCGAACGGUCCGGUGAGGUCCUCGGAUCUGGCCGACGACGCCGCCGGGCUGCCUGGCGGGUCUGGGGAGGGGGCUUCGCGCUUCCUUCGUCCGCCGCUUGUGUCGCCUCGGCGUUCGACGCCUGGAGAAGACGACCGAACCCGAUCGUUUAGAGGAAGUAAAAGUCGUAACAAGGUUUC